GAACGCACAUUGCGCCCUCUGGUAUUCCGGAGGGCAUGCCUGUUCGAGCGUCAUUAUCACCCCUCAAGCCCGGCUUGUUGUUGGAUGCAGCGCUUAUCCCGCUCCUCCCAAAGAUAAUGACGGCGUCUGCGACGACUCCUGUACACUGAGCUUUCGGGCACGUACACGGCUAGAAGUCCAGACCCGGUCGCCGUCCCCCCCGCGGGGACACCCAUUACCACAAGGUUGACCUCGGAUCAGGUAGGAAUACCCGCUGAACUUAAG
This 264-nucleotide unclassified non-coding RNA is filed under the name uncultured Chaetothyriales. RNAcentral describes it as "sequence contains 5.8S rRNA gene". The stretch from base 1 to 53 matches the Rfam family "5.8S ribosomal RNA", at positions 102 to 154 of the family's 154-position model. The record is from RNAcentral. Lineage: Eukaryota; Fungi; Ascomycota; Eurotiomycetes; Chaetothyriales.